CUUUGUGUUUUUUUGUACUUUUUUUAAUUACUUUUUAUGACAUUUAUAAAACUAUAUAACAGACAUGGAACAUGAAUGAUAUAAAAUGUUUCUGAACACUAUAACUACUUUGAACAAGAGAACUAGGCUGUAAUAACGUGGACUAUUUUACAUGUAAAACAUGUUGCAUUACAUUCGUCUUGCGUUUUAAAAACAUUCGCAUAUGAAUGAUGUAAAUUGGGACGAAGGGCGCGUCUCGUUAUCCAUGACAUUGUUAAAUCUCCGGCUCUCAGCCACACACUGAACAGAGCAGACACAGAGAGAGGUGUGAGUGCAGCGGGAAAGCAACACCUCGAGCUUGCUUGACAGUACUGGUGACAUUUGGAAAGUCGCUAAGGUUUGUCCAAAAAGUCGCCAGAUUUGUCGCUAGCCCCCCCUUAACAAAAAAAAAAAGUCACUAAAGGGGUCUGAAAAGUCGCUAAGUUGCUGAAAAGUCGCUAAGGCUAACCCUAAGAACCACCGAAGGAAUAAUGAAUGAAGAAAAGCUGAAAUGCAGUGUGUUACUAGGCAACAACGUUCUCUUCCAUUAAAUGACGUAUUAGUAUGUCCCAGUACUCUCAUGCUCUCUUGCUACACACCCAAAGGUAUGUUUUUUUUUGUUUGUUUGUUUGUUUUUCUUACAAAAAAAAACGAGUACAUACUUUUUAAUGCAUAGUAUAAGUAGGUGAAUUGAGAGGCAGUUUGCCUAGUGCGUGUGGUAGACGACAUAACUCAAAAUAUUUGCUUGUAGUUUCAUAUCUAAGCAGUCCCUCCAGGAUUAUGCGGUCGUGGAAAUGAACACAAAAUCUAGGGAUGUCACGAGAGCAGAUACUUCUGUACCAAGUGGGUACCAACAUGCUUAAAACGUGAUGGUACUUGUUUUCCUGCAGUUUUGUAAGUACCGUUGGUAUUAAGGUUGCAGUUCCUCCGGACCUGAAGGGAGCAGCAAAUACGCAUAAGUGUAUUAGUCGGUCCACAAGUGGUGGUGAAGAAGAAGAAAGCCUACAAGCAUACGGGGGGGAAGACUACAGAAGAUUAGCUUAGCUUAACAAGUUUAGCUCCGUCCCGACUCGUUGAGAGGAAAGCUAGCAUUGGUUUCCGGUGUGCAACCGAUGCUAUUGUUCAUUUCAAACAAAGCAAGGAAACACCUGGAAUUUGGUGAAGCACCUAAAAGACGGUCUUAUAUUAUGUUUGUUGGAGGCAGUUGGCAUUGUUGCUGUGAAACCAGCUAACGUUAUGCUCCAUGUAAUGUUAGCGAUAGCCAGUUAUUUGUUAACGACGCUAACACAUUGCGACGUUAUAAACUACUUCCUAAUGGGCCGCCAUGCGUCGCCAUUCAGCCCGUGUCCUGUCAGCUAAAUGUAGCCUAAUGUCACUAAUUAUUCAAAUGUUCAUGCUUUUAAUAAAUCUUUUUGGCUUGCCACCAUAUCAGUGAAUUUAAACUAAUGCUUGCAUUCAGAGUAUAAGGGGUGCGUGUGUGUUUAGGGGGGCACCUUAGCACUUAUUAUUAGUUGUUGUCAGACAGUGUUUUAUAACUAAAAUAUCUCCCCGCCCUCUCUCUCUGUCUCUUUGCCAGCCGUGGUAUCGAGUAUCGUGUACUUUUUGUGGUAUCGGUACCGACUACUAGAUUUUUGGUAUCGUGACAUUCCUAACAAAAUCAAAGAAACUCCGCAAUAUUUGCUGGAGCUUUUUCAAAAUUACCGCAGAUUUUCCACAGAUUUGGGCCAUGUGACAUCAUCACAGCAUGCAUUUGGUCAAAGCCCUCUUUGCUUCACAUGCUUCGUACAGCUAAAAGGUCUCAUUUACCGACAAACAUCAAUGCGAAAGACCGUGCAAAACAAUUUUGUGCGAUUGCAAUUUCACCAAUUCAAGUAGUUUUCCUCAAAAUAGCACACAACUGAAAAAACAGCAAAAGCAAGCAAUUUUUGCACACAACAAUCACAAGAAACUCUGAGAAAUCCUGUACGGACCGUCUAAGCACUUGUAAAAUUUUUCAUUGCGAAAGUAAAACCAUAUUACAGGUUCAUUGUGUAUAAGUUGUGCUCAAAUCGGUGAAUUUGGGGAAAAAAUAAAAAUUAGAUUCUGUUGACCCAAUUAGUAAUAAUGAACAUAGUAUUCGGUUGUGUGCCUGUUACAGGGAUAAAGCUGCUUUUAUAAACAGUCACCUCUCUGCCACUCAACACUCACUUCUUUAUAAACUACUAGUGUUUGUCCAAGCUUCCUUCCAACCCUUCCAGAACGUACAGAACUGUGUUCAGCUGGUCUAGACAUGACUUUAUGUAUGCGAUUCUACACUGUUAUGUUUUUAAAAAGCAUGCAUGUUCAAGAUUGCUUAAAAACAUUUCAGUAGUGUUUGUACUGUCCACGUUAAAUGGAGGAGCUAUUUUUUAAACUGCUUUUGCCCUGGGUUUUAAGUAGCUCUCACCCUGUUUCGUUUGUGCUUGGUUAAAUGUCAGCUCAUGUUUGUUGUUUGUGUCUAGGCUCGUGAAGAGGAUACAGCAAUGUUUUUCUGAGGAUGGUGUGACCAAAUUGGCUGAGCUUUGCUGAUGGAACCAACAGCAAAUACAGAAAAAACAAGCGAAGACCAUAAGAAAUAGGAUCUCUUUCAUUUUAUGACAAAAAUAUACUCCCUAGAAAGACUGGAUUUAGUCUAUUUGAGCAAUUUAGAUUAGCAAUAUUUAGUGUGGUUAACUAGAAUCUUGAAAUGGUAUAUAAUUUUUAAAAUACAUUUUUCUCUUGACCUAUCAAACUGCACAAUCAGCACUGGUUUCUGUUCAGUAUUCCUGUUCAUGAAGUGACUACAGCUGUAAAUCUGUGCUUCCUCCAGCCUCGGUGUUAUGAUCGUGGACUGUGGUGCUGGGGGCUGUGAGCUGAGGUAGUAGUUUGUAUAGUUUGGGAUCACACCAGAUCUAGGAGAUAACUAUACAGUCUACUGUCUUUCUCACGGCUCCUGCGUCGCAUCAUGCCCUCCAUCAUGGAAGUAGAGAAAAUGUAAAUGGAGCGCUCCAAGUGAAACGUACAGCAUGGGACAUGUUCGGAUGUGGCUUGGGUGUGCUGAGGUAGUAAGUUGUGUUGUUGUGGGGGAUGGUAUUAUUUGCCCUUUUUUUUUUUUGGAGAUAACCAUACAUCUUACUGCCUUCCAUGCCAGAGUCCUGAACCACAGCAAUUAGUAUAAAUAAUUCCAUCCUGAACAAUUGAUGUAUUUUAUUAUAUGCAUUGCCUAUGAAUAUUUUAUCUGUUGUCUGUUCUUCAG
This is a long non-coding RNA of Ictalurus punctatus (channel catfish), 3271 nucleotides long. Lineage: Eukaryota; Metazoa; Chordata; Actinopteri; Siluriformes; Ictaluridae. The record is from Ensembl.